AACAUUCAAAACAUCUGGUUGCGAAAUAGGACCAGGUUGCUGUUGUGGAUGGUCAUGACUAUGGAUGGAAGAAACAGGUUCUAUAGUAAUGACAUUCGGUUGCGAAAUGAGAACAGUUUGCUGUUGUUGGUCAUGAUCAUUUAAAACAGAAGGUUGCUUCUCGAUUUCAACAGGCCCCGCUGCAUGUUUAACAUCCAUAGCAUCAGGUUGCGAAAUAAGAACAGUUUGCUGUUGUUGAUCAGGAUGAUUUGAAGCAGAAGGUUGCUUCUCAAUUUCAACAGGCUUCGCUGCAUGUUUAACAUCCAUAGCAUCAGGUUGAGAAAUAAGAACAGUCUGCUGUUGUUGAUCAGGAUGAUUUGAAGCAGAAGGUUGCUUCUCAAUUUCAACAGGCUUCGCUGCAUGUUUAACAUUCAUAGCAUCAGGUUGCGAAAUAAGAACAGUUUGCUGUUGUUGAUCAGGAUGAUUUGAAGCAGAAGGUUGCUUCUCAAUUUCAACAGGCGACUCUUCUUGUUCAAUAUUCAUAACAUCCGGUUGCAAGAUAGGAAAAGUUUGCUGCUGUUGGUCAUAAUGGUUUGAAGCAGAAGGUUGCUUCUCAAUUUCAACAGACGACUCUGCUUGUUCAAUAUUCAUAACAUCCGGUUGCGAAAUAGGAAAAGUUUGCUGCUGUUGGUCAUGAUGGUUUGAAGCAGAAG
This 692-nucleotide long non-coding RNA is filed under the name Zostera marina. RNAcentral describes it as "long non-coding RNA (ZMAR_LNC001933)". Lineage: Eukaryota; Viridiplantae; Streptophyta; Magnoliopsida; Alismatales; Zosteraceae. The record is from RNAcentral.